AGAAGCUCGACAGAAGCCCAUCGCUCCAUCUCUUCGCAUCCCUUCCCUGUAUCAUGGCAGCAGCCAGGGCGGCGCGACGUCGUCAAUCAGCACUCAAUCACCACCGGGCGGUGACCGGCAACCCACAGCAGAUCCGUUGCAGGAUCGCACCACCUCCGGUCGACAAGGAUUGAGCUCCGCGGAUCCAGGCGCACCGGCCAGAUCCGUCGCCGAGGCGACGACCUCCACCACCGCCCCACUAACCUGCAUCCUCGACGCGCCCAACCCCGGCCACCUCGACGACUCCACCUCCUCAAGGACGACCUGCACCACCGUCCUACCACCCCAGAAUUGACGCUGCCGCCGCCUCUCGGCGACUUCCCCUACCGGCACUAAAUUUCGCCUUUAAACAGUGGAGCGGCGCCGCCCCCAUCGCCUCCAACAUCAGGUCGGUGUCUGCUCCUUUACUCUGAAAUCGUGCCAUGCUGGCCAGGUAAUGUACAGUAGUCCGGCGGUCCUCUUACAUUAUUGAUUUUCAAUAGCACAUGUGUUGUAUAGAUUACUGAUUCAUACACUAUUGUUGCAGAUCUAUUCUCUUUGUGCUGAAGUUGGCUGGGGACUUUUCACGUGGCAAGUUUCGUUGGCUGUACUAUCAAAGAUAGAAUGAGUGGAUUUGGUGUCAUACCAGUCAUGUUUCGACACUGUACUGACAAAGUUUGAGUUUAUAUUGCCAUCUCAACAAUACAUGGAUAACAUAUUAAAGCCAUCGCGCCACCCGCCGGAUUGCUGUGGAAACUCCUGUUAGGCAUCCUCUCCUGAAUCUGCAUAGUAUUUGCAAAUUACUCCUGUUAGAUGUGAACGCACAGCUGGAGUGGAGACGACAAAUGGAAGAAUCACAGAGUGAAGGAAAACUGAGAGCACUAUGAUGUUCACUGAACUUCAGAUGACCGUUUUAUUAAAAGAAAAUUUUCGUUUAUUGCAACCAGGGCAGCGCUACAGAGGUACAAGCUUAGUACUAAACUGUUGUUAUGCAUCUGCAUGAUUGUAUAUGUAUCUCUUAAUGUAUGAGGAAGCUCUUCGAUCUAAAAAUGGCUUCAGAGGGUACUUCCAGCAUUUUGAAAUAUUCCACAGGAUAUAUGAAGACAAGCCUAUCCUAGCCAAUCGAUUCUCCGUAAUAAUUUACACUUGCUUUCAUGACUAUCUUCACUUGUGGCCUUCCGCAUCGUUCAACAUUUAAUUUUGAUCUCUGAUGCUUGCACGAGAUGCAAAAUUCUAGGAGCACAGCAUGGAUUUCAAAUUGCUUUUCAGAUGCAUGGGACCGUGUCCAUGACAUCAUAUGUCACAGGGCAACAAACAGCACAAGACAUCUUAUGAGUGGACAUUCGUGAUGGCGUCUUAAGAGACUAGCGAUGUCUGUGUUACCUGCUUCCCUCUGCGAUGAUCCCAUCCAGCAGGCAGGCGGGACUAGCAUGGACCGGGCGAGUGGCAGCGGCGACCGGGAAGGCUGGGUGAUCAACUCAGUUGAGCUAGGAUACAAUUAGAUAGCCACAGCCCACAGGGACAAUUUAGUCCUUUCACGAGCCUACUUAUGUGAGAAGAAAAAAAAUGAAUAAAAGAGGUGCUAAUGGCAUAGUAAUCAAGGUGUCAACGAUCUAAGUGGCCAUUUUAUGGAGUCAAUAUGCAAAGUGGCAAUUUCUCAAAGCCACAUGAAGGAGGUGCCAAAAAUCCAAAUACUACAACUUCAUACAGUCUAGGCCCUUGGCACUUUCUGCUAAGAGAAAAUAUUAGCAACAAUCAGUUUGCAUAAUAUUGAUGUGCUCAUUUAUCAUGGAUGGUUAUCAAAUGCAUUUCACAGAGGUUAAUGUGCCUGGAAGUAUGUAAUAAAGUUAGCUUAUGUGUGAUCACUUACCAAAUUUUAGCUUAUGUGUGAUCACUCUUACCAAAUUUCUGGUAAAAUAUCUAAUGGAAC
This 1948-nucleotide ribosomal RNA is filed under the name Triticum aestivum (bread wheat). Its description in RNAcentral is "partial small subunit ribosomal RNA". Lineage: Eukaryota; Viridiplantae; Streptophyta; Magnoliopsida; Poales; Poaceae. The record is from RNAcentral.